UUUCCCUCAGGAUAGCUGGCACUCGCUUGAGCGAGUUUCAUCUGGUAAAGCGAAUGAUUAGAGGCCUUGGGGCCGAAACGACCUCAACCUAUUCUCAAACUUUAAAUGGGUGAGAUCUCUGGCUUGCUUGAACAUUGAAGCCAUGAGAAUUUGAAAGCGAAUCAGAGUGCCAAGUGGGCCAAUUUUGGUAAGCAGAACUGGCGCUGUGGGA
Molecule: ribosomal RNA, 211 nt
Filed under: Acanthochalcis nigricans
Lineage: Eukaryota; Metazoa; Arthropoda; Insecta; Hymenoptera; Chalcididae
Description: partial 28S ribosomal RNA
Rfam family: Eukaryotic large subunit ribosomal RNA
Source: RNAcentral